AGCCGCGGUAAUUCCAGCUCCAAUAGCGUAUAUUAAAGUUGUUGCAGUUAAAAAGCUCGUAGUUGAAUUUCGGGGUUAGUAGGUUGGUCAUGCCUCUGGUAUGUACUGGUCUCACUGAUUCCUCCUUCCUGAUGAGCCGUAAUGCCAUUAAUUUGGUGUUGCGGGGAAUUUGGACUGUUACUUUGAAAAAAUUAGAGUGUUUAAAGCAAGCUAACGCUUGAAUACAUUAGCAUGGAAUAAUGAAAUAGGACGUUCGAUCCUAUUUUGUUGGUUUCUAGGAUUGACGUAAUGAUUAAUAGGGAUAGUUGGGGGCAUUAGUAUUCAAUUGUCAGAGGUGAAAUUCUUGGAUUUAUUGAAGACUAACUACUGCGAAAGCAUUUGCCAAGGAUGUUUUCAUUAAUCAAGAACGAAAGUUAGGGGAUCGAAGACGAUCAGAUACCGUCGUAGUCUUAACCAUAAACUAUGCCGACUAGGGAUCGGAUGAUGUUAAUUUUUUAAUGACUCAUUCGGCGCCUUACG
This 519-nucleotide non-coding RNA is filed under the name uncultured Glomus. RNAcentral's name for it is "SSU rRNA". It matches the Rfam family "Eukaryotic small subunit ribosomal RNA", at positions 572 to 1092 of the family's 1831-position model. Lineage: Eukaryota; Fungi; Glomeromycota; Glomeromycetes; Glomerales; Glomeraceae. The record is from RNAcentral. RNAcentral also lists the same sequence under 1 other name.